UACGAAGGGGGGCUAGCGUUACUCGGAAUUACUGGGCGUAAAGGGCGCGUAGGCGGCGUUCCAAGUUAGGCGUGAAAAGUCCUGGGCUCAACCUGGGAACUGCGCUUAAGACUGGAAUGCUAGAGGAUGGAAGAGGGUUGUGGAAUUCCCCAGUGUAGAGGUGAAAUUCGUAGAUAUUGGGAAGAACACCGGUGGCGAAGGCGGCAACCUGGUCCAUUUCUGACGCUGAGGCGCGAUAGCGUGGGGAGCAAACAGG
This 256-nucleotide ribosomal RNA is filed under the name uncultured bacterium. RNAcentral's name for it is "partial 16S ribosomal RNA". It matches the Rfam family "Bacterial small subunit ribosomal RNA", at positions 524 to 776 of the family's 1533-position model. The record is from RNAcentral.